CCUCGCGGCCCGGCCUGACCUGUUAAUCACGUCCCCACGGCUCUUCUAGCGGGGACACCGCCGUCUGCAGGCUCCGUCCCCACCGUGCCCAGACCCCGGGAAGUUUGUCAGUCAGCACCCUGAUGCCAGCCGAUUCUCAAAAAGCCAGGAGGAUCCAAGCAGAUCAUUUGCCAGACGGUACUGCAGCAAUGGAGAUGAACAGAUAAUUCACACAGAAAGAAGGAUGCAGGAUGCUCGAGACUCUUGCAGUAAUUUGGGCAAAGAUUUCCA
This 270-nucleotide long non-coding RNA is filed under the name Homo sapiens (human). RNAcentral's name for it is "HSALNT0165782". Lineage: Eukaryota; Metazoa; Chordata; Mammalia; Primates; Hominidae. The record is from RNAcentral.